This 74-nucleotide transfer RNA is filed under the name Methanosarcina thermophila. Its description in RNAcentral is "tRNA_Tyr_GTA". It matches the Rfam family "tRNA". From Rfam's summary of the family: Transfer RNA (tRNA) molecules are approximately 80 nucleotides in length. RNAcentral also lists the same sequence under 1 other name. The record is from RNAcentral. Lineage: Archaea; Methanobacteriati; Methanobacteriota; Methanomicrobia; Methanosarcinales; Methanosarcinaceae.
CCCGCCUUAACUCAGUGGUAGAGUGCGCGGCUGUAGUCACCGCGAUGUCCCCGGUUCGAGUCUGGGAGGCGGGA